CCCUUCCUCUCUUCCUUUCAGCCUCUUCCAUUUCAGUCUCCAGCCCCGGGGUGGACACUCGGAUCCGUGUGGCCUGUUCCUGUCUGGUCUCAGAUGAUGGAACUUCUAAGGCACAGCUAAUGAGACACCUCAAAUGGUGGUAAGAUUGAGUGGAGAUGUGUGAUGCAUCGGACCUGGAAAAACCGCACCCCUAAUGCUCUGGGCCACCUUCACAGCCAAGCCAGAGACAAAACAGGCUCAGCUCACACCAUUGCCUUCUCCCGCGAUGCUCCCUUUUCUCCUCCACCUCGGACAUGGCCCGCCUACAAGGCCAGGAGCAGGGGGCGCCUUUUAAGAAAGUCUCCCCUGAUUACAUCACCCUGACAACACUGGUCUGAUAGCGAGUGUUCUGUGUACACAUCUCAGUGUACACUGGGCUGGCAUUUAUCUAACUAUUCACAUAUGAAUAUCUUCUAAGUAAACAGCGGGCACCUUGAUGAUCAAAUCUGUUGGUUAGAUGUGAUGAAAACCUGUCUUGGUGUCAGAUGGACCUAUUAAAGUUUAU
Pteropus alecto (black flying fox) is the source of this 544-nucleotide long non-coding RNA. RefSeq lists it as uncharacterized. The transcript is spliced from 2 exons. Lineage: Eukaryota; Metazoa; Chordata; Mammalia; Chiroptera; Pteropodidae. The record is from RefSeq and is a predicted model, not a curated record.